Molecule: ribosomal RNA, 252 nt
Filed under: uncultured bacterium
Lineage: Bacteria
Description: partial 16S ribosomal RNA
Rfam family: Bacterial small subunit ribosomal RNA
Source: RNAcentral
UACGUAGGGGGCUAGCGUUAUCCGGAAUUACUGGGCGUAAAGGGUGCGUAGGUGGUUUCUUAGGUCAGAGGUGAAAGGCUACGGCUCAACCGUAGUAAGCCUUUGAAACUGGGAAACUUGAGUGCAGGAAAGGAGAGUGGAAUUCCUAGUGUAGCGGUGAAAUGCGUAGAUAUUAGGAGGAACACCAGUUGCGAAGGCGGCUCUCUGGACUGUAACUGACACUGAGGCACGAAAGCGUGGGGAGCAAACAGG